This 253-nucleotide unclassified non-coding RNA is filed under the name uncultured bacterium. RNAcentral describes it as "contains 16S-23S intergenic spacer region". It matches the Rfam family "Bacterial small subunit ribosomal RNA", at positions 524 to 776 of the family's 1533-position model. The record is from RNAcentral.
GACAGAGGAGGCAAGCGUUGCUCGGAAUCACUGGGCGUAAAGGGCGCGUAGGCGGGAUGGCAAGUCGGUCGUGAAAUCCCCGGGCUCAACUCGGGGGAGUCGGUCGAUACUGCCGUUCUUGAGGGAUGCAGAGGAGACUGGAAUUUCCGGUGUAGCGGUGAAAUGCGCAGAGAUCGGAAGGAAUACCUGUGGCGAAGGCGAGUCUCUGGGCAUCCUCUGACGCUGAGGCGCGAAAGCGUGGGGAGCAAACAGG